GGAUGUGAGGGCAAUCUGGCUGCAACCAUCUGUCACUCCAUUGAUUGCCAGGGUUCAUUUGGCUGAUCUGGCUGGCUAGGUGGGUGUCCCCUUCCUCCCUCACCGCUCCUCCCAAAGCUGCUUGGUUGAAGAGGACAGAGGCCGUCAUUACUGGACGGACCGAAGGACGGUCAAGGGUAUACGAGUAGCUGCGCUCCCCUGCUAGAACCUCCAAACAAGCUCUCAAGAAUAGGUCAACUUCCAAUGGACUCCAGGAGUUACAGAACUCUGGUGCUGGGAACUGUAUGAAAUUAUACCCCCUCCUGUCCCACAAUCUUGU
This is an unclassified non-coding RNA of Erinaceus europaeus (western European hedgehog), 319 nucleotides long. Its record names the gene 7SK. It matches the Rfam family "7SK RNA". Rfam says of the family: 7SK was discovered as an abundant small nuclear RNA in the mid-70s but a possible function has only recently been suggested. Two independent studies have found that 7SK RNA binds the CDK9/cyclin T complex (known as elongation factor P-TEFb). NCBI's taxonomy places the organism in Eukaryota, Metazoa, Chordata, Mammalia, Eulipotyphla, Erinaceidae. The record is from Ensembl.